This 460-nucleotide ribosomal RNA is filed under the name uncultured bacterium. Its description in RNAcentral is "partial 16S ribosomal RNA". It matches the Rfam family "Bacterial small subunit ribosomal RNA", at positions 338 to 795 of the family's 1533-position model. The record is from RNAcentral.
CCUACGGGAGACUGCAGUGAGGAAUAUUGGUCAAUGGGCUUACGCCUGAACCAGCCAAGUCGCGUGAGGGAAGACUGCCCUAUGGGUUGUAAACCUCUUUUGUCAGGGAGCAACGCCGGCUACGUGUAGCCGGACUGAGAGUACCUGAAGAAAAAGCAUCGGCUAACUCCGUGCCAGCAGCCGCGGUAAUACGGAGGAUGCGAGCGUUAUCCGGAUUGAUUGGGUUUAAAGGGUGCGUAGGCGGAAUGCCAAGUCAGCGGUAAAAUCGCGGGGCUCAACCUCGCUCCGCCGUUGAAACUGGCGUUCUUGAGUGGGCGAGAAGUAUGCGGAAUGCGUGGUGUAGCGGUGAAAUGCAUAGAUAUCACGCAGAACUCCGAUUGCGAAGGCAGCAUACCGGCGCCCAACUGACGCUGAAGCACGAAAGCGUGGGUAUCGAACAGGAUUAGAUACCCCAGUAGUC